This 434-nucleotide ribosomal RNA is filed under the name uncultured bacterium. Its description in RNAcentral is "partial 16S ribosomal RNA". It matches the Rfam family "Bacterial small subunit ribosomal RNA", at positions 29 to 507 of the family's 1533-position model. The record is from RNAcentral.
AGCGAACGCUGGCGGCAGGCCUAACACAUGCAAGUCGAACGAACCCUUCGGGGUUAGUGGCGGACGGGGGAGGAACACGUGGGAAGGGGCCGUUAGGUGCGGAAUAAUUCAGGUAAACGUGGGCUAAUACCGAAUGAGCCAUUCGGGGGAAAGAUUUAUCGCCUUUGGAGCGGCCCGCGUCCGUUUAGCUAGUUGGUUGAGGUAAUGGCUCACCAAGGCGACGAUCAGGACCUGGUCUGUGAGGAUGAUCCGGCACAUUGGUACUGAGACACGGCCCACACUCCUACGGGAGGCAGCAGUGGGGAAUCUUGCGCAAUGGGCGAAAGCCUGACGCAGCCAUGCCGCGUGAAUCCUGAAGGUCUUAGGAUUGUACAAUUCUUUCACCGGGGACGAUAAUGACGGUACCCGGAGAAGAAGCCCCGGCUAACUUCGUG